GGGCCCGCACAAGCGGUGGAGCAUGUGGUUUAAUUCGAUGCAACGCGAAGAACCUUACCAGGGUUUGACAUCCUGCGAAUCUCUUGGAAACGAGAGAGUGCCUUCGGGAACGCAGUGACAGGUGGUGCAUGGCUGUCGUCAGCUCGUGUCGUGAGAUGUUGGGUUAAGUCCCGCAACGAGCGCAACCCACGUCGUUAGUUGCCAGCAUUUAGUUGGGCACUCUAGCGAGACCGCCGGUGAUAAACCGGAGGAAGGUGUGGAUGACGUCAAGUCAUCAUGCCCCUUACAUCCUGGGCUACACACGUACUACAAUGCUACGGACAAAGGGCAGCAAACUCGCGAGAGCUAGCAAAUCCCAUAAACCGUGGCUCAGUUCAGAUCGGAGUCCGCAACUCGACUCCGUG
This 404-nucleotide ribosomal RNA is filed under the name uncultured bacterium. RNAcentral's name for it is "bacterial SSU rRNA". It matches the Rfam family "Bacterial small subunit ribosomal RNA", at positions 917 to 1322 of the family's 1533-position model. The record is from RNAcentral.